Molecule: long non-coding RNA, 1798 nt
Organism: Beta vulgaris subsp. vulgaris (sugar beet)
Lineage: Eukaryota; Viridiplantae; Streptophyta; Magnoliopsida; Caryophyllales; Amaranthaceae
Exons: 3
Source: RefSeq, a predicted model, not a curated record
CUGGUAGUGAAGUAAGUUAGCAUGUUUUUUUAUUAUUGUUAAAUAAGAGGAGGUAGUGGUUAUUAGUGGACAUGUUCAUCAUAUCUUUUGUUACUCCUUAUUUUUCAACUGUAUAUUGGUUAUUUUAGUGCCUAUUUAAGGACCAUUUAUUGCUUUAUGAAAAUCAAGAAAACUAGGUAUAACUUUUGUGAAAGUAUUGGGUCAGACCGUCUGACCUAAUACUUUCCGUCGGACGGGCUGAGCCCAUCAAAACGCGCGCGGGCUUUUUUUUUCAUAUUUGUUUGUUUUUUUAAAAAAUAUUUAACGAUCAUUAUGUUUAAUCUUUUGACGGUUUUGAAACUGUUUUUUAUGUAGUUCGUACUUGAUUAUCUCUAGUUUUAAAACUGUUUCUUCUCUCUUAAUUUCUCAUUAAUUCAAGUUUUGCUCUUAAUUUUUCUGCUUCUCUGCUUCUCUGUUGUUGAAAUUUACUUUGUUUUUUGGUUCGUAAUUGAUUACUGUUGCAUCGCAAAUAUGGUUAAGAGGAUCAGAGAUGAAGUUUCUAGGUAUAACUUGGUUUGGAUUUGCUGUAAUUUUUUAUUCCCAAAUUCUUAGUGUGUUGUUGUAAUUGUAAUGCAGCUCGAAGGUGAAGACAGACGCAUCUUCAGGAAAACAUUUGGUUGUGUCUACUGCUGGGAAGAGGAAAGAGAAAGAUGGUGAUUAUGAUCCAAGCUGUGAUAAAUCAUUGUCUAAGAAGAAAGGCAAAGCUGAUUUAUCACCAGUGAAGUUUACAUUUGCAAGGUCUAAUCCAGGAAUUUGACAGAGCAAGAAAAAUGAAGUCUAUUAGUCUACAUGUAUUGUCAGACUAUUCUCAUUUACAUGAAGUUGUUAGUAUCUUCAGUGAUCAGCAGCAAAGAGACAUUAGGGAAAUUGGGUUUGACAGUCUUCUAGAUAUUAGGAUAAAGAAGUUAUGUUCGAAUAUCAAUUUGGAGUUGUUGUUGAAUACAAUGCUUCCGGAAUGAUGUUUUUGACAAAGAAUGGUAAAGUAAUUUUUAAUAAGUUUACCAUCAGGGAUGUUUUGGGUUUACCUGUAUUAUUUAAACCAGUUGAGGUUAUUGAUGAUGAUGCCUUUAGGAGGAAAGGUAGUCAGGUGGAGGCAGGAAGUGCCAGGAGGGAUUGACAUAGGUUGCUUGAUGUUUCUGAUCCCAAGAAGCCAUAUAUUAGUAAAAAAAAUUGGGAUGAUUUGUUUAAGAAGCAUCAAAGUGGGGAUGAUUUUAAGAAGUUGUUUGUUAUUUUUUGCUUAUAAAAGCUCCUUUGUCCACGUGCUGAUUUAGUGCCUGCCCUGAAGUGUGCCAAGAGUUUGGAAGAUGUAUCUAUGAUUUCAAGCUACGAUUGGUGUUGAUAUGUCUUACGAAGUCCUUGUACUGCUGUAUUGGACUGUCAUCAGACUAUAAUGAUGAGGAAGAACGAGCUGGGACAGAAGAAAGUGACAUUUAAGCUUCGGGGAUGCAUGAGCGCUCUGGCUCUUGCUGUUAUUCACAACUUCAAGUGUCGUAAUCUGGAUUUCUCAAAUGUCAGUAAGCUAUUUAUCACUUAUUGGCAGGAAGAGAAGCAUUUGAGUAGUGUUGUGAAGCAGUUUGAGAUCAGCAUGGAAUUUAUUCUGCCAGUGAAACGUGAAAAAGAGAAGCUUGAGUUUAAAGCUCCUAGUGUUAGUGCUGCUAGUAGGAAGUCUGCUUCUCCUGCAAUAAAGGUGGUUGAGGGUCCAUCACCUUCAACUAGGCAGUUUGUUAUGGAUCUUCCUCAUACUUUGAUGAGUGAUGAG